RNAcentral lists this ribosomal RNA (564 nucleotides) under uncultured bacterium. RNAcentral describes it as "partial 16S ribosomal RNA". It matches the Rfam family "Bacterial small subunit ribosomal RNA", at positions 355 to 912 of the family's 1533-position model. The record is from RNAcentral.
UGGGGAAUUUUGGACAAUGGGGGAAACCCUGAUCCAGCCAUCCCGCGUGUGCGAUGAAGGCCUUCGGGUUGUAAAGCACUUUUGGCAGGAAAGAAACGUCGCGGGUUAAUACCCCGCGAAACUGACGGUACCUGCAGAAUAAGCACCGGCUAACUACGUGCCAGCAGCCGCGGUAAUACGUAGGGUGCAAGCGUUAAUCGGAAUUACUGGGCGUAAAGCGUGCGCAGGCGGUUCGGAAAGAAAGAUGUGAAAUCCCAGAGCUUAACUUUGGAACUGCGUUUUUAACUACCGGGCUAGAGUGUGUCAGAGGGAGGUGGAAUUCCGCGUGUAGCAGUGAAAUGCGUAGAUAUGCGGAGGAACACCGAUGGCGAAGGCAGCCUCCUGGGAUAACACUGACGCUCAUGCACGAAAGCGUGGGGAGCAAACAGGAUUAGAUACCCUGGUAGUCCACGCCCUAAACGAUGUCAACUAGCUGUUGGGGCCUUCGGGCCUUGGUAGCGCAGCUAACGCGUGAAGUUGACCGCCUGGGGAGUACGGUCGCAAGAUUAAAACUCAAAUGAAUUG